This 232-nucleotide ribosomal RNA is filed under the name uncultured bacterium. Its description in RNAcentral is "partial 16S ribosomal RNA". It matches the Rfam family "Bacterial small subunit ribosomal RNA", at positions 118 to 347 of the family's 1533-position model. The record is from RNAcentral.
UGGGUAACCUGCCCUCAACUCUGGGAUAAGCCUGGGAAACUGGGUCUAAUACCGGAUAUGACUUCAAGUUGCAUAGCUUGGGGUGGUAAAGUUUUUCGGUUGGGGAUGGGCCCGCGGCCUAUCAGCUUGUUGGGUGGGGUGAUGGCCUACCAAGGCGACGACGGGUAGCCGGCCUGAGAGGGCGACCGGCCACACUGGGACUGAGACACGGUCCAGACCUCCGUACGGGGAG